This 180-nucleotide non-coding RNA is filed under the name Nitrospirae bacterium GWC2_56_14. RNAcentral's name for it is "6S RNA". It matches the Rfam family "6S / SsrS RNA". From Rfam's summary of the family: E. coli 6S RNA was the first non coding RNA to be sequenced, but its function was unknown until recently. It consists of 184 nucleotides that fold into an extended hairpin structure with a large single-stranded internal bulge. The 6S RNA specifically associates with RNA polymerase holoenzyme containing the sigma70 specificity factor. Lineage: Bacteria; Pseudomonadati; Nitrospirota. The record is from RNAcentral.
AAUCCCCUGCUUUGCGCGUGAUGGGUAAACUUGUUCCUCGUGAAAAGAAUAAAACGGGAGCUUACCUCGGAGCGUGUGUGCAUGCCCAGACAAGACUGGGAAGCCUGAUCGAGCCGACAGGGCGCCCACCUGGUUACGACCAGGAAUCAAGUUAAUCUGCACGGCAAAAGCGGGGGUUUU